This 1940-nucleotide unclassified non-coding RNA is filed under the name Hevea brasiliensis (rubber tree). Lineage: Eukaryota; Viridiplantae; Streptophyta; Magnoliopsida; Malpighiales; Euphorbiaceae. The record is from RNAcentral.
UAAUUCAUAUGUAUGCCGUGUUCUGACAAAGAAAAAAAAAGGGCCUAACAUGUUAUAAAUUGCAUUAACAAAUCUUUUCCGUUAGCCAAAUUACCAUGUAGCCCAGUCUUUUUCUUUUUUGCAAGGCCUUUUCUUCCCUUUGUAGACCCCACUUGUCCACACCCCUGUCGCUAUCCCCUCCUCCUCUGUCAUCUCUCUCUAUUUAUCUCUUCAACAUUCACACAACCAAAUAGACAAAAAUUUUGUUUCAUUGAUACACAGAGAGAGACACAGACGCAGGCAUAUACACUGCACAGCCGCACGCACACACAUAUAGAAACUAAAAAAAGAGAGAGUGGAAGAGGGGAGGAAAUUAAGGUGCUUUCAUGGGUAACUACAGGUUUAGGUUGUCUGAUAUGAUGCCCAAUGCUUGGUUUUACAAACUCAAGGAAAUGGGCAGAACCAGAAACCAUACUACUACUAGCACUCAUUCCAUGAAAAAGAAACAACCGAUUACUAACACAUCAGCAGAUGCCACUUCUGCUGCUGGGCCACUGCCAUCCAAACCAAAGCAAACCCACCACCACCAAUGCUCUUAUCCAAGAAAAUCUUACUACUUCACCAGAGAGCUUAUCCCCACUAACCCAAAAUCCACAGACACCCAUUUCCAUGACCCACCAAGAAGAUCCUCUAAACAACGACUGCUUAAGAGAAGAACCAGUCUCAACUCUUCCUCUCCCAAGCUUGUCACCUCCUCUGUCUCCGCUGGUUGUAGCUGUGGUGCCACCAUCUGGACUAAAUCAUCAGAUUCUCCGCCAGACUACUCUGCUUCUAGUUCUGAUAGCCCUCCCGAGUUAGAACUCAGCGACUCGUUUCCACCAGAAUUCAGGUCUGACCGUGCUCUUGAAACCCAAUCAUUUGAUAGCAUGGUUGCAUGGUCAAGCUCUUGUGGUUGUAAUGUCGAUUCUAAUGCUGAUGAUAUUAUAAUCGAUGUGGAUAAGAAAUCUUUUGGUAGAAAAUUUGAUAAGCUGAAUUUAUCUGAUCUUGAUCUUCCACCAAUCAUAGCCAAGCCUGCUAAAUUCGACGAUAAGGCUGAGGACGUCAAAAAGAAGGAGACCAAAGAAACAACCAAAUACAGAAAGAGCUCAGCUAAAUACGAGGAAACAAAUGCUCAUGGCUCCUUAUCAGUGAAGGUGGUGAAAGAAGAGAGCGUCACCACGAAUGAGCAUAAAGGCAGUAAUUCCCUGAGGAGACAUUCUGUGAAUUCCCCAGGACUAAGGCUUCGAGUGAAUUCUCCAAGAAUUGCGAGCAGGAGAAUUCAGGCACACGCUAGAAAAAGCGUGUCAUCAACAUCGAGUUCAAGCUAUCGGAGGAGUCUUUCAGAUAGUCUGGCAAUUGUGAAAUCUUCAUUUGAUCCGCAGAGAGAUUUCAGGGACUCAAUGGUGGAGAUGAUUAUGGAAAACAAUAUCAGGGCAUCAAAGGACUUAGAAGACCUUCUUGCCUGCUAUCUUUCUUUAAAUUCCGAUGAGUAUCAUGAUCUCAUUAUCAAGGUUUUCAAGCAAAUCUGGUUCGAUUUGACAGAAGCCUGGUCGAAUGUAGGGACUCGGACUGCUCAAAAGCCUGGAACUCUGUUACAUUUUGCUGCCUCUCUGCGAAGGUUCAAUGCUAUUUGCCUUAACAGAGACAGCAGUAAAGGCGAGUAGGAGUUGGAAAGGAGACUGUAGACCCAUGUGGCUGUAAUGGAGGGUUUACAUUGGCAUCGCAAGAAAAAUCCAGGGUCAGAAAUGACUGUUUGGAUGAAAAGAAAAAUAGAGAAAAUAUUUGAUAAGAAAGCAAAGCGUGGAUGCUUGGUGUUGUCCCUUUCUGGGACAAGGAGUUUCAUGCUUGAUUGACAUUACCAAACAAUACUUUUAAAUCAGUAUUUAAAAGUCCCUAAUUUUGCGGUUGCUAUAUUUUUCACG